RNAcentral lists this long non-coding RNA (764 nucleotides) under Rattus norvegicus (Norway rat). RNAcentral describes it as "long non-coding RNA NONRATT011391". The record is from RNAcentral. Lineage: Eukaryota; Metazoa; Chordata; Mammalia; Rodentia; Muridae.
GUGUGGAGCUUCGGCGUGGUGCUGUAUGAGCUCUUCACCUACAGCGACAAGAGCUGCAGCCCAUCCACUGAGUUCCUGCGCAUGAUGGGGCCUGAGCGUGAGGGAUCCCCGCUCUGCCACCUCUUGGAGCUGCUGGCAGAGGGCCGCCGUCUCCCACCACCCUCCACCUGCCCUACUGAGGUGAGGGAGACAGACUCAAGUUUCCCAGUUUCCAUUCCUGAUUGACAGCAUUGGUCAUGACUGGGAAGGCUUUACAUGAGGAGGCUCAGCUUCAAGGGCUUCAGAAAUGUGGUUUUCACUUGUGUUGAGGCAAAGUCUUGCUAUGUAGCCUCCUCUAGCCUGGAACUCGACAUCCUCCUGCCUCAGUCUCUUCUGGACUGAGAAGACAAAUGCAGGUGCCACCACCACCACUCUCAACUCCACAUUUUAGUGUUUCUUUUAUUAUUUAUUUUUUACAGUGCUGAGAAUUGAAGGCACAUGCUAGGCAAGCACACAUCCUAUGUCAUGACAAUGAAGGGGCCUCGCAGGCCACUCCCGGGCAUAAGUGGAUCUUGUUGGAGGAGCCACUAGAGUUCAUUCCCAGUAGGAAGCAGAGCUAAGAGAGAAGCAAAUGUGUUGCAAGGUGGGGAAUGUGUGCCCGUCACUCUAGCCAUCAGCAGGCCAGGGCAGGAAGAUUACCACAGGCAAACUUAGUUUCUGUUCAGAGAUCCAUAGGGAGCCACGGAGAGCUAUGGAGCAGUGGGGUGACUUCGAAUGUGUGCCAU